Molecule: ribosomal RNA, 465 nt
Filed under: Vreelandella stevensii
Lineage: Bacteria; Pseudomonadati; Pseudomonadota; Gammaproteobacteria; Oceanospirillales; Halomonadaceae
Description: partial 16S ribosomal RNA
Rfam family: Bacterial small subunit ribosomal RNA
Source: RNAcentral
CCUACGGGAGGCUGCAGUGGGGAAUAUUGGACAAUGGGGGCAACCCUGAUCCAGCCAUGCCGCGUGUGUGAAGAAGGCCCUCGGGUUGUAAAGCACUUUCAGUGAGGAAGAACGCCUGGUGGUUAAUACCCAUCAGGAAAGACAUCACUCACAGAAGAAGCACCGGCUAACUCCGUGCCAGCAGCCGCGGUAAUACGGAGGGUGCGAGCGUUAAUCGGAAUUACUGGGCGUAAAGCGCGCGUAGGUGGCUUGAUAAGCCGGUUGUGAAAGCCCCGGGCUCAACCUGGGAACGGCAUCCGGAACUGUCAAGCUAGAGUGCAGGAGAGGAAGGUAGAAUUCCCGGUGUAGCGGUGAAAUGCGUAGAGAUCGGGAGGAAUACCAGUGGCGAAGGCGGCCUUCUGGACUGACACUGACACUGAGGUGCGAAAGCGUGGGUAGCAAACAGGAUUGGAUACCCUUGUAGUC